UCUUUAGCUGAACUUAGAGAGGAGGAAAGUUUGCUAUUGACGGAAAGGAUAAAUUUGAAAAAUGAACUGGCAGCUUUGCGUCUCACUCUUGAGAAAAAGAGAGCUACAAAUGACAGUUUGAAGAGAAUUAAGGUGGAAAAUAUUGGAGCAACUUUCACUUGGAGUUUGGAAAUGGAAGCUCUUUUGUAAUUACUUUAGCUUGUAAUUCUGAUGUUCAAUGAUCUGGAGAUAUCUUAGCAAGUUUUUCAUUCUUUAAUUUAGGUGAUGCGAUUUGCACAUUAAUUGUUUGGUCAAAAGUUGAGUUAAUGAAGUUGUACGUAGAGUUUUUCAAUGCUUUAUUUGGGAUUUGUUGGGUAUUGGAUCUUAUAAACAAUGAAAACAAGGCUGACUAGUUCUUUCUUUGGUGGGAGUGCUAUUGCUGGUUUUGUUGAAAGUUGCAUAUGAGAGAAUACUGGGAACUAUUGAGGAUUUGACUUAACACUAUUAUUUCUUGCCUAGCAUACAA
Molecule: long non-coding RNA, 505 nt
Organism: Quercus lobata
Lineage: Eukaryota; Viridiplantae; Streptophyta; Magnoliopsida; Fagales; Fagaceae
Exons: 3
Source: RefSeq, a predicted model, not a curated record